GUUUAUUUCAAAACAAUUUCAUCGCAUCCAUUAAAAAAAAGCUUUUACGAUUGCAUGUUGUUUUGAUUCUUUGUAAUGAAAACUAUAGUUGCUUUAUAGAACUGCAAUAUCAUCAUACGGUUUAUAAUAUUUAUUAUCAAUUUAUAUAAAGAAAAUUCGAGAACUCGUAAGUUGUUCAUAUAAUAUGUUAUGACACAAUUGAAUGAAUUAUUUCCCAGAGGGUAUCACCAGCCCAGUAGUCAGCAUUUUUUGUGCUGACAUGAAUUAUCAUUGAUAUGGUUAUAUUUAUAAAUUAACUGUUUACAAAAUUUAGAAUUUUUGAAAUACUAAGGCUUUUCUACCUCAGGCAUAGAUUAACUUAGCUGUUUUUGGCAAAACUUUUAGGAAUUUUGAUCCUCAAUGAUCUUCAACUUCAUACUUUAUCUGGCCUUUUUAACUUUUUGGGUUUCGAGCGUCACUGAUGAGUUGUUUGAAGACGAAACGCGCGUCUGGCGUAUAUGCAAAAUUUAGUCCUGAUAUCUAUAAUGAGUUUAUUUACAGUAAUAUCUUUACCUAAAAAAAAAUGCAAAUCAAAAGAAAAGUUAAUGAUUGCCAAACAAAUAAAACAACACAAUCUGGCAUGGCAUGUUUUGUCAAAGCUUUAGAUAUCGGUCACAGAAUACAUUCAUUCCACCAGGAAAAACAGACUGGUCGAAUGAAAAUGUUAUGUAGAGACAGGCCUGGUAAAUUUACAACACUUUAUAGUCAUAUCCAUUUAGACUUUACAUUUCUGUACUACAAAAUAAUAUAGCCUGUUUGGGUAAUAAAGUCGACCUUCUAAACAUAUGUUUCAACGUUAUAGAUUUGAUAUAAUGUAAAGAUAUAAAGAUAAUUGAUAAAUGUCACUCCUUACUACUAAAACUCUUCUAAAUAGAUAGAAAAUGUAUCUGCAAAACUAAUAGAUUGUAAUUUCUCUUAAAAGGAAAUCGAGAAACAAAAUGUUUCCGUUACAUGAAAAAUAAACCACAAGGAACAUCGGAAAUAAACAAACAAAAGAAUAACACAACCUUGCAAAAAAAAAAAAAAAAAAAAAAAAAGGGCGGCAAUUCAGAUGGUACCGUUUGGGUAAAUGAUACCCAUCUUAAGACAACUAUCGAUUUGAGAUAAAUUUUGUUGAACGAGAUAGGAAAGAAAGUACCUGCGUCAUACUCAUGAUACUGUCAUACGGGAAAAUUGUCAAUAUAUUUAUGUAUAGCAGAUUAAUGAGUCUGAUAGAUUUUUUGAUAUCUGGACUAAUUUUGGCGAUGCAUUUUGACAUUAUAAUUAUAUUAAUUCUUUUCUUCAAGUAAAGAUGAAAUAUUUAGAUCAUAAUUCUCUUUAGAUUUCAUUGUAAUAAUAUAAGAUGGGAACAUUCAGAUGAACAACAAAGGAAUUUAACUUGAAUGCACGCUUGUUGUUUCUCCAUUUGUGCUCAUUCAUUUUUGUUUUAUAAUGUUAUAUUUGAAAUAAAAUCGGUGCACUCGAUAUAGUUGAACCCUUUUCCUUAUGUUCUCUUUCACCUGAUAAGAAACCAAACCCCAGAAGAAAGAAAAAGUUCUUUCGAAGAAUCAACCCGGACGAUACCAUAUUUCAAUGAAAUAUGAUUUAAGGCAUAAACUAAUGACCUAUGUGAGGUCAAUAUUUUUCUUGAUAAAAAAUGCAAAAUAUAAUUUACUUCAACAUUUAAAUUAGUUUGAUAUUUUGUUGUUGACAAUUGGGGAAUUUAUUUUUUAAAGUUCCAUUGUUGAUAAGUUUAACAAUAUAUCGUCAUUGACGCGCAUUUUAACUUGAAAAAAAAUGUGAAGUGUUGUUAAUUCAUCGCUUCAAUAAAGCGACAUUAUCAAAUAUAUGAGAUAUUCGUUUUUGUGUUACAUGUCAUUGAUCUUGAUUGCAUACCGUCUUCGUAUCAGUUCUUAACAUUUUAAAUGAAUAUUAUACGUUUCACUCUAUCAAAUGAUCACCAAUAACAGCCAUGUACCUCACAAAAAGCUGGGAAGUAUAAUGUCGACACUGAUUUUCUGUGUAAAAAUAUAUUGCCAUUCAAAAAUAUACUAUUUUGAAUUGUUCAUUCGUUGAAAAUUGUUGAAAAAAUAAUCAUUUUUUCCGAUAUAAAUUUCUUUACAAUUUGUUUUGUGAGAAGCAUUGAUUGAUUAAAUAGGGAAGCAUUGAGUCGCAAGAUCGGGCAGUCAGUGUAUUUUUCCUUCACCGUUAUCGGAUGGUAACAAUUCAUUUGUGCCUUACCUCAUGCAGUGACAAUAAUAAUUUUAUUGUGUCUGGAUAAUAAUUUUCCUACGUUUAUAUCUAGAUUAAUUGAUGAGUUUUAUAUCACAUUCUAUAAGAGCCGUAUGGCGUACUAAAACCUGAACGUAUCAGAAUGGAAUAUCCAACUUUAGUUUGGUCGGUAAAAUAAGAUACUAAUUCUGCAAAUCUUUGUAGAAAAUAAUAUUUUUUAUGGUAUAUGAGUCAGCUAAUGCAUAUUUUAAGGUUUUUCUUGUCAUGGAACACACCGAGGAGUGUCAGGAUUGCCCAAAGAAAGACCUCUCUAUGGACGAAAUCAGUAUUGAAACAGUACUGAAAAAAUCAGUACUAAAUUUAUAGAAUUUGUAGUUGUACCGUUUUUGUAUGAUAAUAAAAAGUACCGAAUUAAUAGAAAACAUAAAAUUACAAGUUUUCAGUGUUGCCGAACAGUACUGAUAUAUACGAUGAUAGAAAUGUACACAAAAAAACGUGGGUACAUUCUUGGUAGUGUAUAACAGACAUCAAACGCACGUGAAGGUAUUCACUGAAAAUAUAUAAAUAGUCCUAGCUAUAUAUAUACUGUACGCGAAAGCGUGAUAAGCAUACACUGUAUCUUCGUGAACAUAUAGCAAAACUUCUUUUGUCUAAUGAUAAAGUCGAAGUAUUGUUUAAAGGGGCAAAUAUGUAGGAUAAUGUAGAUAAAGUUUAUCCACAAAACAAUUCAACACUUGAUAAAAAAAAA
This 2998-nucleotide long non-coding RNA is filed under the name Mytilus galloprovincialis (Mediterranean mussel). Lineage: Eukaryota; Metazoa; Mollusca; Bivalvia; Mytilida; Mytilidae. The record is from RNAcentral.